Molecule: ribosomal RNA, 253 nt
Filed under: uncultured bacterium
Lineage: Bacteria
Description: partial 16S ribosomal RNA
Rfam family: Bacterial small subunit ribosomal RNA
Source: RNAcentral
UACAGAGGCCUCGAGCGUUAGGCGGAAUCACUGGGCUUAAAGCGUGUGUAGGCGGCUUGGUAAGUCCCUUGUGAAAUCCCACAGCUUAACUGUGGAACUGCUCGGUAUACUGCUGAUCUUGAGCCACUCAGGGGCUACCGGAACAAAUGGUGGAGCGGUGAAAUGCGUAGAUAUCAUGUGGAACGCCAAUGGUGAAAACAGGUAGCUGGGGGUGUGCUGACGCUGAGACACGAAAGCCAGGGGAGCAAACGGG